UACGGAGGGGCUAGCGUUAUUCGGAAUUACUGGGCGUAAAGCGCACGUAGGCGGCUUUGUAAGUAAGAGGUGAAAGCCCGGAGCUCAACUCCGGAACUGCCUUUAGACUGCAUCGCUUGAAUCCAGGAGAGGUGAGUGGAAUUCCGAGUGUAGAGGUGAAAUUCGUAGAUAUUCGGAAGAACACCAGUGGCGAAGGCGGCUCACUGGACUGGUAUUGACGCUGAGGUGCGAAAGCGUGGGAG
Molecule: ribosomal RNA, 242 nt
Filed under: uncultured bacterium
Lineage: Bacteria
Description: partial 16S ribosomal RNA
Rfam family: Bacterial small subunit ribosomal RNA
Source: RNAcentral